AAUAUGUUGGUAGGUGUUUUUGAGGCAGGAAUACAUAUGCUUCCUUCAAUUAAAACAAUAGGCCUCAGUGGAAUUCAAUCAAAGGAAGGAUACCUUUUGAAUUUGGAGAUGCUGCUAAUGCACAGUUCUUGAAUAUCGAUCUGUCUUAUAACCAUCUUUGUGGUAGAGUUCCCGAAUCUCUUUCGCAUUUGGAUGGAAUCGAUCUGUCCUACAAUCGUUUAGAAGGUCGAAUUCCACUAGACAUCUGGACUAAAUUUUCAAGGGAAUCGUUCUACGGAAAUUCAGAGUUACUUCUGCCAAAUGGAUCCAGGAUUGAGAUGGAGGAAACGAAACAUCCUCGAAUCCGGAUAAGUUAUGCUGUCAUUGGUGUGGUGAUACUAUUUGGAUGUGUGUUUUUGUUUUCAUCAGGUUUGAUUCUAACCUUUUACUUAAGAAGGAAAGCAGCCACACCUCAUAAUGACCAGAGACAUGGAGACAUAUUCAAGAUAUGGAACUUCGAUGGAAACAUCGCCCAUCAACACAUCAUCCAAGCAACAGCAGACUUCGAUUUCAGGUACUGCAUUGGAACUGGAGCUUACGGGAGCGUCUACAGAGCUCAACUGCCAACUGGAAAAGUCGUUGCUGUCAAAAAGCUUCACAGAUUCGAAGGAGAGAAUCCUAGUUACGACAUGUGCUUCAGGAAUGAAGCAAGGGUUCUCUCUGAGAUACGCCAUCGCCAUAUUGUCAAGCUUUUCGGUUAUUGCCUGCACAAGCGUAAUUGCAAAAACAUUUCUUUAACUUAAAAAGAGUAAUUUAUUGGUAAUAGCAAUACAUGUGUACACAACGACAUUAACACACAACACAUUCGACAAGCAAGACAUCGUUUUCUCAUUACCUUAGUCACAACAAUGAGGAUCACCCCCAUCUACGGCUCGACGACGAUCUUUCCGGUAGCAUGGCCGUCGAUGCUCUUCGCCCAGGCGGCUGCGGCUUCGCUCAACGGGUACUUGCAGUCGAUCACCGUCUUCAGCUUCCCCUGCUUCAUCAGCUCAGCGAGGAACUGCACAUUCUCCGCCUUGACAGAGUUGACGAACGGCACCAGUUGCUUCUUGGAGAACGUGAGCUUCUUCACGGCGAAAGUCCACAUGUGGCUCACCCCCGGCGUGAGCUCGAUCACCUUCCCGCUGGGGCUCAGGUUCGGCUCGAACACCGACCACGGGAAGGACGACGCGCACUGGAUCACCGCGUCGUACUUCUUGCCCGACGGGCUCUUGAGGGCCGCGCCCUCCGGGGUCUUGUAGUCGAGCACCUCGUCUGCCCCGAGGCUCCUCACGAGGUCGAUGUUGCGGGCCCCGCAAGUGGCGGUGACGUGCGCGUUCCCCAGCUUCGCGAGCUGGACGGCGAAGUGGCCGACACCGCCAGAGGCGGCGGUGACGAGGAUGUUCUUCUGGGGGCCGCUGCCGUCGAACUUGAGCCCAGCCGACGUGAGGGCCCCGUGAGCCGUGCAGCCGGCUAUGGGGAAGCUUGCUCCAUCAGCAGCUGAUACUUCAGGAGGCCUUGGAAACGUUACAUCUAUCUUAGCCACUGCAUAUUCUGCCAAACCACCUCCUGUCUGUUUCCAUCAAGAUUCAUGACCACAAUCAAAGAAAAUCCAUACAAAAGAUGCAAGAUAGAGCAAGAAACACCUCCAUCGAUCUAGAUCGAUGUAAAUCUUUAGUAAAUCCGCUAUUCUCACGAAAAGAAAUUUGCAGUGCCGGUCGACAUAUGGCCAAUUAUUUACAACCAUAAUCCAGCACAGAGCUAAACUCUGUCUCCAACAAUUACACCCAACUCGUUAAGUUUUUUAGGUGCAUUGCAGAGUCUUUUGGAAAAUCAAGCACCGCAAACAAUCAAAGGAUCUGCUACUGAGUAUAUAUUACUCCCUCCGUCCACUAAUUCAAGGCCUUCUUUUCUUUUUGGUCCGUCCACCAACUCAAAGCCUAUCUAUUUUUAGUAAAUUUUUAUUCAUAUUUUAAUUGGUGGGUCCCAAUAAACAAUACACUUUUUCUCCACUCAACUAAUAAAUAAUACAAUUUGUGGGUCUCUUUCUCCACUCAACCAAUAAACAAUACUCCCUCCAUCCCAAUAAUGAAGUCUCCUUUGUUUUGGGCACGGGUAUUUAGGAGAGGUAAAAUUGAUGUUAAAUGAGUAGGGACCACAUAAUUAGUGCUUUAAUUAGUGUUAUUUUAUUUCUUAAUUAAAUUGACUAAUCAAGUCUCUACGCCUCUCUCUCUGUACGUGAUUUCUGCGCCGUCGUUCGCCGGCUGUUUCAGCCGCCGGCGAGUCGCCGCCCUUAUUCCUUCUUAGGUCGGCAUCACUUCCCCCUUCCUCUUCACUGUCAUUCUCUCCAUUUCUCAAAAUCGAGCCCAAAUCUCUUCUCUCUCUUCUCGCCGUUCUCUCUUGCAAAACACACACACACAGAUAUCUGGCAGAACACACACACACAGAUCUCUCGCCGUUCUUCUCGCCGUUUCUCUUCUCUCUCUUCUCGCCGUUCUCUCUUGCAAAACUCACACACACAGAUCUUUGGCAGAACACACACAUACAUAAAUGCAUCCUCCACCACAAAAAUCAAAGAUACAUAAAAUUUUCAUCCCAAAAAUCAAAGAUGCAGAGUCCGGACGGACUGUAAGAGAGGCAGCAACGGUUCCGCCUGAAUCAGCAGAGAGCUAGGGCUCAUUCCGAAAGGGGGAAACUCGCCUGUGCAUUUCGGUGAGAGAGUAAGAGGUAGAGUGAGCGACGAUCUCGACGGUCUUUCUGAGAAGAGAGCAGACGACACGAGUCGGCCACUGCUCGCCGGAAAUCGAAAGCAGUAGCGAUGAUUUUGAUGAGAGCGUUAGGGCUCAUUUCGAAAGGGAAAACAAGGGCACGAUAUGAGAAAGGAAUUGGAAUUGAGAGAAAAGAGAGAGAGAAGAGCAGAUGUGGCGGGGAAGCAGCGCCGGUGACCGGCGUGACGGCGACCUCACCGGUCUUCCAGAUGCAGCGGCUUUCUCAAAGGGGAGAGAGGAAUUGAAGAGAGAGUGAGGAGAAUGAAGGCUGCGUGAAAGAAGAAGAGGAGAGAGAGAGAGUAAAUUGUUAAUUCAACUAAUUCUAUAUUAAUUUUUGCCAAAAAGGGAAAGGAAACUUGAAUAUUGGGACGGCCCAAAAAGGAAUAGGAGACUUGAAUAUUAGGACGGAGGGAGUAUAUUUUGUGGGUCUCUUUCUCCACUAAUCUAAUAAAAAUACACUUUUUCUUAAAAUUUGUGUUUUGCCUCUUAGAUCUUGAAUUAGAGGACGGAGGGAGUAUAAUUUUUAAUUAUAUUUUCUUCAAUUUUAAUUUAUUAUGCUUUAAUAUUAUAAAAAGAUAAUUACCAAGAAUUCACACAUCCAAUUAGGGUUUAUAAUUAUUUUUUAUAUUUAUUUGAAUUAACAAUUAAUUAUUUGGGUUCAUUAAUUCAAAGUUAGGGUAUAUAAUUUUUUAAAAUUUCAAUUUUGAUAAAUAUUAAUUAGAGUUCAUAAUAUAAUAAUAUUUUUUAUUUUUAUAAAAAAUAAUUCUAAAAUAAAUAAAUUAAGAGUGAUACACGGUGGUACACACAAAAUAGUGGGACAAAAGAUCCCAUCUGCCAGCACAUACGUCGGUCAAUAUUCAAUAAUGAGCUUUUCGAAAUGGAAAAACGUGUAUUAGAGUGUCUAGAAAAUCAAGUUGUGGAAUAGCUUGUAGUUUGGGUUGGAAAAUGAAUUUAAUGUAAUGGGGCUGUAAUAGCUAGUCACUACCCGAGUAGACUUCUAAGUCCAAGUCAAUUCAAUUAUUAAUAUACUCCACCUAAGUAUAAGAAUAUGGAGUAUGAAAGAAGAAGGAAUCAUAUCCUCACAAAUAAUAAAAAUGAUGGGUUUUGGGAUAAGUAGUCGCAUUUUGAUCAUGGCCAUAGUGUUGAUGAAAGCAGCAGAAGCAAGCAUGAGCAGAGAGAUGCAGGCAUUGAUGAAAUUUGGGUGGCCUCACAACUCCACAACUCAUCACUGCAAUUUGACUGGCAUUACUUGUGAUGAUGCUGCUCAUGUUGCGGCGAUGAGCCUCCAAGUUUGCUCUUAUCCUACUACUCUUCUUAGUUUAAACCAUUUUGAUGUGUUUGCUUUUCCACAUCUCACUAGAAUUCAUCUCACCUCAUGUUGCCUCAAUGGAACCAUCCCACCACAUAUAGGUUACCUCUCCAAACUAACUUAUCUCAAUUUGUCUCACAAUCCUCUAUAUGGUGAAUUGCCUGUGUCACUUGCAAAUCUCACUGAAUUGCAGAUACUUGACAUUUCUGAUAUUAUGGUCAUAUGUCUUAUGGCAUUUAUGGUGUCAUUCCGCCUGAGAUAGGAAGCUUAUCCAAACUAACUCAUCUCGAUUUGUCAUACAAUGAACUCAACAGUGAUCUGCCUCUCUCACUUGCAAAUCUCACUAACUUACAUGUGCUUGACCUUUCUUAUAACAGCAUUGUCGGUGUCAUUCCGCCUGAGAUAGGAAACUUAUCCAAACUAACUCAUCUCGAUUUGUCAUACAAUGGACUCAACAGUGAUCUGCCUUUCUCACUUUCAAAUCUCACUGAAUUGCAGAUACUUGACAUUUUCUCAUAGUCGUCAGUUUUAGACAUAAANGAUAGGUUACCUCUCCAAACUAUCUCAUCUCAAUUUGUCACACAAUCAACUGUACAGUGAAUUGCCUCUGUCACUUGCAAAUCUCACUAACUUACAGGUGCUUGACAUUUCUUAUAACGGUUACAAUUCUGGUGUCAUUCCGCCUGAGAUCGGAAGCUUAUCCAAACUAACUCAUCUCGAUUUGUCACACAAUGGACUCAACACUGAUCUGCCUCUCUCACUUGCAAAUCUCACUAACUUACAGCUGCUCGACCUUUCUCAUAAUAGAAUUGUCGGUGCCAUUCCGCCUGAGAUAGGAAGCUUAUCCAAACUAACUCAUCUCGAUUUGUCAGUCAAUAGACUCUACGGUGAUCUGCCUCUCUCACUUUCAAAUCUCACUAACUUACAGCUGCUUGACAUUUCUGAAAACAACAUUUCCAGUGCCAUUCCGUCGGGAAUAGGUUACCUCCAGCAAUUGAUUGUUCUUGAUUUGAGCCACAACAGCAUCAGUGGCUCUCUGCCCUCAACUAUGCGCCAAUUAACAAGAUUGGAAUUGUUGAAAUUGGACGGCAAUAUGUUGGUAGGUGUUUUUGAGGCAGGAAUACAAAUGCUUCCUUCAAUUAAAACAGUAGACCUCAGUAGGAAUACAAUCGAAGGAAGGAUACCUUUUGAGUUUGGAGAUGCUGCUAAUGCACCGUUCUUGAAUAUCGAUCUGUCUCAUAACCAUCUUUGUGGUAGAGUUCCCGAAUCUCUUUCGCAUUUGGAUGGAAUCGAUCUGUCCUACAAUCGUUUAGAAGGUCGAAUUCCACUAGACAUCUGGCGUAAAUUUCCAGAGGAAUCGUUCUUCGGAAAUUCAGAGUUACGUCAUUAUCCAAAUGAAGCCAAACAUCCUCGAAAUGCUGUUAUUGCUGUGGUGAUACUAUUUGGAUGUGUGUUUUUGUUUUCAUCAGGUUUGAUUCUAACCUUUUACUUAAGAAGGAAAGCAGCCUCUGCAGUCACACCUCAUGAUGACCAGAGACAUGGAGACAUAUUCAAGAUAUGGAACUUCGAUGGAAACAUCGCCCAUCAACACAUCAUCCAAGCAACAGCAGACUUCGAUUUCGGGUACUGCAUCGGAACUGGAGCUUACGGGAGCGUCUACAGAGCUCAACUGCCAACUGGAAAAGUCGUUGCUGUCAAAAAGCUUCACAGAUUCGAAGGAGAGAAUCCUAGUUACGACAUGUGUUUCAGGAAUGAGGCAAGGGUGCUCUCUGAGAUUCGCCAUCGCCAUAUUGUCAAGCUUUUCGGUUAUUGCCUGCACAAGCGGAGCAUGUUCCUCAUCUACGACUACAUGGAAAGAGGAAGCCUGUUUAGUGUGUUGAAGGACGAGAGCGAAGCCGUGGAGUUAGAUUGGAAGAAGAGGGUGAAUGUGGUGAAGGGCAUUGCAAAUGCACUAUCUUACAUGCAUCACGAUUGCACGCCGCCAAUUCUGCAUAGAGACAUUUCGAGCAGCAACAUCCUCUUGAAUUCACAGUUUGAAGGUUGUUUAUCUGAUUUCGGAACAGCUAGAUUGUUGGAUCCAGACUCAUCCAAUCGGACUCUACUAGUCGGAACUCGCGGCUAUAUCGCGCCAGGUAUCGAUAAACACAACUUGGAUGAAUUAAUACACAUUUUCCCCCCAUCAAUUUUCAUGAUAGAUAUGUUUGCUGCUUGCAGAACUAGCCUUUACCAUGGUGGUUACAGAGAAAUGUGAUGUGUACAGCUUCGGAGUUCUGGCACUGGAAAUCGUGUGUGGGGACCACCCAGGGGAUUUCGUAUCCUCCGUGACCACGAUGAAGGGAUCAUCCUCAUUCGCACAGUUUGCUCAAAACUUGAUGGUGCAACAACUCCUGGACAAGAGACUAGCAUCUCCAGAUGAAGAUGUAAGAGUGUCCCGGGAAAUCGUUGGAGUGGUGAAAAUAGCUCUCAAAUGCGUAAGUUCUGAUCCGAAAUCGCGGCCGUCUAUGAAGGAGGUGUCUCAGGAACUCGCUGCGAACCCGCCACGCUUGUCGAUGCCCUUUCGCUCCAUAUCAGUGCUGCAGCUGAUGCAUUCAGAUUGAGCUCACAACUGCUUUUUUUUAACUAAUAAGCUUAAAGAUAGAUGUUGAAGUGCUUAUGAUACAUACUAGUACUAGGUUUGUUAAGGGUGUCCUCAACUGAACUGGAUCAAAAUAUUGAAAACUUGUUCACACUGGAUGGUGCUGAAGGUGAUAUUGAUCAUUAUUAUGAGUAUCUAUCUUUGAGUUGGAUGUUUUUCUUGUAAUGGUAGUGGCA
This 6906-nucleotide long non-coding RNA is filed under the name Salvia miltiorrhiza (redroot sage). Its description in RNAcentral is "long non-coding RNA (SMIL_LNC002108)". The record is from RNAcentral. Lineage: Eukaryota; Viridiplantae; Streptophyta; Magnoliopsida; Lamiales; Lamiaceae.